This 537-nucleotide long non-coding RNA is filed under the name Salmo salar (Atlantic salmon). RNAcentral's name for it is "lncRNA (ENSSSAG00000095917.1)". The record is from RNAcentral. Lineage: Eukaryota; Metazoa; Chordata; Actinopteri; Salmoniformes; Salmonidae.
AACAGACUAGUAGUGUGGGAAGGUGGGUGAGAUUGUUCUCAUCUGAUAGGGAACAGACUAGUAGUGUGGGAAGGUGGGUGAGAUUGUUCUCAUCUGAUAGGGAACAGACUAGUAGUGUUGGAAGGAAGGUGGGUGAGAUUGUUCUCAUCUGAUAGGGAACAGACUAGUAGUGUGGGAAGGAAGGUGGGUGAGAUUGUUCUCAUCUGAUAGGGAACAGACUAGUAGUGUGGGAAGGUGGGUGAGAUUGUUCUCAUCUGAUAGGGAACAGACUAGUAGUGUUGGAAGGUGGGUGAGAUUGUUCUCAUCUGAUAGGGAACAGACUAGUAGUGUUGGAAGGUGGGUGAGAUUGUUCUCAUCUGAUAGGGAACAGACUAGUAGUGUGGGAAGGUGGGUGAGAUUGUUCUCAUCUGAUAGGGAACAGACUAGUAGUGUGGGAAGGUGGGUGAGAUUGUUCUCAUCUGAUAGGGAACAGACUAGUAGUGUUGGAAGGAAGGUGGGUGAGAUUGUUCUCAUCUGAUAGGGAACAGACUAGUAGUG